GUGCUGGAUGAUGAAGACAUGGUCUCUUACAUUCUCUUCGGCCUUGACAUCGACUUCAACCCUGUGGUGUCCACCAUUGCAGGACGUUCGGAUCCCGUCUUGGUGAGUGAGGUAUACUCACAACUCCUUGCCUUCGAAC
This 139-nucleotide small nucleolar RNA is filed under the name Triticum aestivum (bread wheat). RNAcentral describes it as "Small nucleolar RNA Z247". It matches the Rfam family "Small nucleolar RNA Z247". Rfam says of the family: Z247 is a member of the C/D class of snoRNA which contain the C (UGAUGA) and D (CUGA) box motifs. Most of the members of the box C/D family function in directing site-specific 2'-O-methylation of substrate RNAs. The record is from Rfam by way of RNAcentral. Lineage: Eukaryota; Viridiplantae; Streptophyta; Magnoliopsida; Poales; Poaceae.